AUGCUUGCUCCAGGGGACAUCUCCAUUAGAGCCUACUACCUGGAGGACUUCCUGGUCCUGUGCAAGGACAUGGCCACACGCAACAAGCUCGUGGAUGGCGGUCGGGCAUCCACCGCGCAGUUCUCUCUCGUCCUGCGGCCAUGGAUGAGGCAGGCUCAGGCUACGGGCAUCUCAAUGCCGUUUCUUGUGCCGCUGGCACUCAAGGGUGUGCCGGCGAAUGCAUGGACUAGGCGGACGGCGGAGGCAGUUCUCUGGGGCCUCGGUCUUGUCGUCAAGGUGGCGGAGAGCACGGCGCACCGGCAUGACAUGGCGGUUCAGGGUUUGGCUGCGCACGGACGAUCCGGCUAG
RNAcentral lists this ribosomal RNA (348 nucleotides) under Triticum aestivum (bread wheat). RNAcentral's name for it is "partial small subunit ribosomal RNA". Lineage: Eukaryota; Viridiplantae; Streptophyta; Magnoliopsida; Poales; Poaceae. The record is from RNAcentral.